CAGCCGCCGCGGGAAUACGAAGGGCGCAAGCGUUACUCGGAAUUACUGGGCGUAAAGCGUGCGUAGGUGGUGGUUUAAGUCCGUCGUGAAAGCCCUGGGCUCAACCUGGGAAUUGCAGUGGAUACUGGGUCACUAGAGUGUGGUAGAGGAUAGUGGAAUUUCCGGUGUAGCAGUGAAAUGCGUAGAGAUCGGAAGGAACAUCUGUGGCGAAGGCGACUAUCUGGGCCAACACUGACACUGAGGCACGAAAGCGUGGGGAGCAAACAGGAUUAGAUACCCGAGUAGUCCCUGUCUCUUAUAA
Molecule: ribosomal RNA, 301 nt
Filed under: uncultured bacterium
Lineage: Bacteria
Description: partial 16S ribosomal RNA
Rfam family: Bacterial small subunit ribosomal RNA
Source: RNAcentral